Molecule: ribosomal RNA, 467 nt
Filed under: uncultured bacterium
Lineage: Bacteria
Description: partial 16S ribosomal RNA
Rfam family: Bacterial small subunit ribosomal RNA
Source: RNAcentral
GACGAACGCUGGCGGCGUGCUUAACACAUGCAAGUCGAACGGAAAGGCCCUGCUUUUGUGGGGUGCUCGAGUGGCGAACGGGUGAGUAACACGUGAGUAACCUGCCCUUGACUUUGGGAUAACUUCAGGAAGCUGGGGCUAAUACCGGAUAGGAGCUCCUGCUGCAUGGUGGGGGUUGGAAAGUUUCGGCGGUUGGGGAUGGACUCGCGGCUUAUCAGCUUGUUGGUGGGGUAGUGGCUUACCAAGGCUUUGACGGGUAGCCGGCCUGAGAGGGUGACCGGCCACAUGGGGACUGAGAUACGGCCCAGACUCCUACGGGAGGCAGCAGUGGGGAAUAUUGCACAAUGGCGGAAGCCUGAUGCAGCAACGCCGCGUGCGGGAUGACGGCCUUCGGGUUGUAAACCGCUUUCGCCUGUGACGAAGCGUGAGUGACGGUAAUGGGUAAAGAAGCACCGGCUAACUACGUG